This 253-nucleotide ribosomal RNA is filed under the name uncultured bacterium. Its description in RNAcentral is "partial 16S ribosomal RNA". It matches the Rfam family "Bacterial small subunit ribosomal RNA", at positions 524 to 776 of the family's 1533-position model. The record is from RNAcentral.
UACGUAGGGGGCAAGCGUUGUCCGGAAUUAUUGGGCGUAAAGAGCUCGUAGGCGGUUCGUCACGUCGGCUGUGAAAUCCCGAGGCUCAACCUCGGGUCUGCAGUCGAUACGGGCGGACUGGAGUACUGCAGGGGAGACUGGAAUUCCUGGUGUAGCGGUGAAAUGCGCAGAUAUCAGGAGGAACACCGGCGGCGAAGGCGGGUCUCUGGGCAGUAACUGACGCUGAGGAGCGAAAGCGUGGGGAGCGAACAGG